CCUACGGGAGUCUGCAGUGAGGAAUAUUGGUCAAUGGACGAGAGUCUGAACCAGCCAAGUAGCGUGAAGGAUGACUGCCCUAUGGGUUGUAAACUUCUUUUAUAUGGGAAUAAAAUGUUCCACGUGUGGGAUUUUGUAUGUACCAUAUGAAUAAGGAUCGGCUAACUCCGUGCCAGCAGCCGCGGUAAUACGGAGGAUCCGAGCGUUAUCCGGAUUUAUUGGGUUUAAAGGGAGCGUAGGUGGAUUGUUAAGUCAGUUGUGAAAGUUUGCGGCUCAACCGUAAAAUUGCAGUUGAAACUGGCAGUCUUGAGUACAGUAGAGGUGGGCGGAAUUCGUGGUGUAGCGGUGAAAGGCUUAGAUAUCACGAAGAACUCCGAUUGCGAAGGCAGCUCACUGGACUGCAACUGACACUGAGGCUCGAAAGUGUGGGUAUCAAACAGGAUUAGAUACCCGGGUAGUC
RNAcentral lists this ribosomal RNA (460 nucleotides) under uncultured bacterium. Its description in RNAcentral is "partial 16S ribosomal RNA". It matches the Rfam family "Bacterial small subunit ribosomal RNA", at positions 338 to 795 of the family's 1533-position model. The record is from RNAcentral.